ACAGAUUUACUGUAUAUUUGACUCGGUUCUCACCCUUUACUAUUGUCCAACGGGCAAUUUAAUUUGUUCAUGGAAGACUAUUGCAAGAAGCUGACAGAUGCUGAAUACCCAACCUCGAAUUGUAUUGACAUAGCGCACAGAACCUUUAAUGGAGUAAUAUCGAUCCGACUGGUGAUGGAGAUUCUUCAUAUCAUCUUUAGCUUCCUCCUCAUCCGGGCAUCAGAACGAAAAAUCCACGUCUGAUGGUUCCCUACCUGGUGAUGAUGUUGAUUGCUAUCGUCUUGUUGACACUGUCUGCUGCAUUCAUAGUAGUAGUACUCAUGCUUUUGAGCGUCAGGAUUGGUAUGGUACUGGCAAUCAUCUUGGAGGAGUUAUUUUCAUCAUGACUACUUCAACCUCGUGGUUCGAGCCUAUUACAAGGAGAUAAAUGGACCUGUA
Long non-coding RNA from Penaeus monodon (black tiger shrimp), 438 nucleotides. RefSeq lists it as uncharacterized. The transcript has 4 exons. The record is from RefSeq and is a predicted model, not a curated record. NCBI's taxonomy places the organism in Eukaryota, Metazoa, Arthropoda, Malacostraca, Decapoda, Penaeidae.